Molecule: ribosomal RNA, 681 nt
Filed under: uncultured Staphylococcus sp.
Lineage: Bacteria; Bacillati; Bacillota; Bacilli; Caryophanales; Staphylococcaceae
Description: bacterial SSU rRNA
Rfam family: Bacterial small subunit ribosomal RNA
Source: RNAcentral
AACAGACGAGGAGCUUGCUUCUCUGACGUUAGCGGCGGACGGGUGAGUAACACGUGGAUAACCUACCUAUAAGACUGGGAUAACUUCGGGAAACCGGAGCUAAUACCGGAUAAUAUAUUGAACCGCAUGGUUCAAUAGUGAAAGACGGUUUUGCUGUCACUUAUAGAUGGAUCCGCGCCGCAUUAGCUAGUUGGUAAGGUAACGGCUUACCAAGGCAACGAUGCGUAGCCGACCUGAGAGGGUGAUCGGCCACACUGGAACUGAGACACGGUCCAGACUCCUACGGGAGGCAGCAGUAGGGAAUCUUCCGCAAUGGGCGAAAGCCUGACGGAGCAACGCCGCGUGAGUGAUGAAGGUCUUCGGAUCGUAAAACUCUGUUAUUAGGGAAGAACAAAUGUGUAAGUAACUAUGCACGUCUUGACGGUACCUAAUCAGAAAGCCACGGCUAACUACGCGCCAGCAGCCGCGGUAAUACGUAGGUGGCAAGCGUUAUCCGGAAUUAUUGGGCGUAAAGCGCGCGUAGGCGGUUUUUUAAGUCUGAUGUGAAGCCCACAGCUCAACCGUGGAGGGUCAUUGGAAACUGGAAAACUUGAGUGCAGAAGAGGAAAGUGGAAUUCCAUGUGUAGCGGUGAAAUGCGCAGAGAUAUGGAGGAACACCAGUGGCGAAGGCGACUUUCUGGU